This 454-nucleotide ribosomal RNA is filed under the name uncultured Acidovorax sp. Its description in RNAcentral is "bacterial SSU rRNA". It matches the Rfam family "Bacterial small subunit ribosomal RNA", at positions 923 to 1382 of the family's 1533-position model. The record is from RNAcentral. Lineage: Bacteria; Pseudomonadati; Pseudomonadota; Betaproteobacteria; Burkholderiales; Comamonadaceae.
GCACAAGCGGUGGAUGAUGUGGUUAAUUCGAUGCAACGCGAAAACCUUACCACCUUGACAUGUACGGAAUCCUUAGAGAUAGAGGAGUGCUCGAAAGAGAACCGUAACACAGGUGCUGCAUGGCUGUCGUCAGCUCGUGUCGUGAGAUGUUGGGUUAAGUCCCGCAACGAGCGCAACCCUUGUCAUUAGUUGCUACAUUCAGUUGGGCACUCUAAUGAGACUGCCGGUGACAAACCGGAGGAAGGUGGGGAUGACGUCAAGUCCUCAUGGCCCUUAUAGGUGGGGCUACACACGUCAUACAAUGGAUGGUACAAAGGGUCGCCAACCCGCGAGGGGGAGCCAGUCCCAUAAAGCCAUUCGUAGUCCGGAUCGCAGUCUGCAACUCGACUGCGUGAAGUCGGAAUCGCUAGUAAUCGUGGAUCAGAAUGUCACGGUGAAUACGUUCCCGGGUCUU